AUAUGUUUAACACUUUUUUGGUUACUACAUGAUUCCAUAUGUGUUAUUCCAUAGCUUUGAUGUCUUCACUAUUAUUCUACAAUGUAGAAAAUACACACACACACACACACACAUAUAUAACGAUACCCAUUUUAGCCAUUUAUAUAUUUAUUUUUAGGAACUCAGUCAGGGUCUCAAUUGACUAAUGAGAGAAAUAAUAGUAGAAUACACCAGGUGCAAUUUCAAAAUGUGGUUGUGCAUCAGCAGUUUUUAACUUUUUAUGUCAGUCACUGACAGUCACUGAAUUAGCCAUGUCAGCUAGCAAUUUUAGAUUGGUAGCUUGUCUAGCCAGCUAUCUAACUUAUAGUAAUCAUGGUCGAAUACUGACUGGGCACACAAGGCAUUUGCCCAGGGGCCCUGACUUCCAGGGGACCCCCAUUUGAUUUUGUUAGUCAUUCUCACUCAGAUAUCAUAUUAACAUGGCAUUCAAACUGAAAAGAUUUCUAUCCACCCCAUGGCAAAAUGGGUAGAAUUGCUUGAAAUGUGUUGUUGAACUGCAACAUUUUCUCUCUGCCCCAUGGACAAAUGUGCAGAAUUGCAGGAAAUUAACUUUAAAAUGAACAUUUGUCUCUACACCGUUAAGUGGGGGAUAGGGCUGGGCGAUAUAUCCAAUUAAUUAGAUUAAUUCGAAUGUAUGUUUUUGCGCAAUAUUCUAAAUGCCUGUAUCACAAGAAUAUUUUUUGAUUUUAUGAGCGCUUAUGUCCGCUUGUUCUCAUCUCUUUCUGGUCUCGUCUCCUUCACUCCUGUGCUGUGUGCGUGCACCUUCCCAUUAACACCAGAGUACUGGAUAUAAUGAUGAAAUGCUCAUGUCUCCGCCCUGACAAUGGGAGUCGUUUUCGCAAAGGCAGGAAGGCAGGCGACAAGCUUAGGUCCAAAAUAAGACCAUAGAACCGCAUUUUUUUUUGGAGGACCGAUUUUGGCGAGAGCAAAAACUCUUGCUUCGCCUCUUCCUCUCUGUUCACACACACACACAUACAAAGACCCUCCCCUUUCCACUUACAACAAAGCUGAGAGAUCACUAAUUCCUCUCUGACAAGAGGUUUCAACUCGCUAUAUGCAUUUGAGCUUUGGUCCCACAAAAUCGAUCAUAUGGACACGGAAACACACUGGGACAUAAUUGUACUGUAAUAGAGGACACGUUAACAUUUCUAACGAUACCCUUUUUAUGUCUCAAAUAUUCAAAUUGAUCGCAGAGCAAUCACUACUAAAACAGGAGUAUCAAUGAACAUUGAUUCUGGAAAAUGAAUGCUCAGUUUGCCGUGCGGUAUCACGUUCCACUAGUAGCAUUUUAGCCAAAGACUGUUAUACUAGCUGUCUAGUCUAUGCUUAAUGCACAUUUAUAAAACACAAAACGCAAUUAUAUAAGGAAUGGGCAACUCGUUUUCAUUCGGGGAAAUACGGUAGGCCACUUGAUUUCAACAAAGUGGGCAGGCUAGCAUGCUGUUCAAACGGAAGGGUGUGCUCAUAACAAUUCAACUGUUAUGCCUUGUUAGCUAGCAAAUAUAUCCAAGUUUGCUAAACUUAAAAGAUUAAGAUUAGCUGGCUACUCACUAGCACGUACUUAUGAGACCUGUGUUAGUUUUCGAUAAUGCCUGCUACAAGAAGUUAGUCAUUAUUAGUGGAUGUGCAUUAUGCAUGGUUCUGGUUAAAUUUGUAACGAAAAUGCCAUUUUCAUAGACCGACUUGAAAGCCAGAGAAGUGAUUCUUGCAAAAAAAACUGAUUUAAACUAUUUUGAUAAAAUAAUUCAAUUAUUAGUGGGUCUUAUAUUUGUGAAAGACUUUAUAUAUUUAGCCUGGGUAUAAUAUCACAAGCCCUGAAUUAAUUUGAUUAUUGCUGACUGUUUGAAAUGCAGUGUAUUUGACCCAACCAAAUCUCGCUUAUGGCCCCCAAAAGGAUGGACAUUUAUUUUGACCCCUAUUUUAUUAACUGGUAUUGAGAAUGUGCAGUAGGUACAGACUCCAAAGCUUGAAUUACUUCUCCAUCUAUGUCUGUGCCUGGUAAACAACUUAAAUGCACUCUGUUCUUUUCUCCAUUGCAGGAGGAACCAGGUUUAGACCUACAUUGCCCUGAAAAAGUAUUUUCCCCUUUCAAAUUUUCUCUACUUUUGCAUAGUUUUGAUACAGAAUGUAAUCAGAUCGUCAACCAAAACCUAAUAUUAGAUAAAGGGAACCUGAGUGAACAAAUAACACAACAAUUACAUGCUCAUUUCAUUAAACAAAGUUUAAAGUGCAACAUCCAAUGCCCCUGUGUGAAAAAGUAAUUGCCCCCUUACACUCAAUAACUGAUUGUGCCACCUUAAGCUGCAAUGACUCCAACCAAACACUUCCUGUAGUUGUUCAUCAGUCUCUCACGUCGCUGUGGAGGAGUUUUGGCCCAUCCUUCCAUGCAGAACUGCUGUAACUCAGCGACAUUUGUGGAUUUUCAAGCAUGAACUGCCACAACAUCCAAAAAGUUAUACCUUUUAAUCAUCUGCCCAUAGUACAUUCUUCGAAGAUUCCUGUUGAUCAGGUGCUUUUUGGCACGACAUAUGUCCCAUUAUGCCUGGCGGAAACCAAACGCUGCAUUCCACAGCAAGAACCUCAUACCAAUGGUCAAGCAUGGUGGUGGUAGUGUGAUAGUGUGGGGAUGCUUUGCUGCCUCAGGACCUGAUCGACUUGCCUUAAUAGAAGGAACCAUGAAUUUUGCUCUCUAUCAGAGAAUACUACAGAAGAAUGUCAUGCAGCAAGACAAUGAAUGAUCCGAAAGACACAAUCAAAUCUACAUGAAAAUAGCUCAAACAAUUUAAUAAAAAACAUUGAUGUUUUGGAAUGACCUAGUCAAAGUCCAGACUUAAUCCCAAUUGAGAUGUUGUGGUAGGACUUGAAACGAGCAGUUCAAGCUUGAAAACCCAGAAAUGUUGCUGAGUUAAAGCAGUUCUGCAUGCAAGAGUGGUCCAAAACUCCUCCACAGCAACGUGAGAGACUGAUGAACAACUACAGGAAGCGUUUGGUUGGAGUCAUUGCAGCUAAAGGUGGCACAACCAGUUAUUGAGUGUAAGGGGGCAAUUACUUUUUCACACAGGGAAAUUGGGUGUUGCAUAACUUUAAUUAAAUACAUAAAAUAAGCAUUCAUUUGUUAUUUGUAAGCUUGGGUUUUGGUUGAAGAUCUGAUAACAUUCUGUAUCAAAAAUAGAGAAAAUCAGAAAGGGGGCAAAUACUUCUUCACGGCACUGUACAUACAGUAUAACCAUAUUAGAUGUUGAGUGACAUGGUCCCAAGGCUGCUUCCUCUGUUGUUAGCAGCAGCUAUAGGGACUGUGAUAGUUAAAUACAUGUAACCUUUAUUUAACUAGGCAAAUAUAACAACAUAAACAGUUGAUGGAGGCCCGUAUUGAACGACCUGUCUGGAGUUGCUCUCGGGACGGAGUUAGCUCAGAGAGAACCACACAACCAGAGUACUUUUCCUCACACAAACUAGGUAUGUUGUGAUAUAUUACCAUCCAAACACUGUCCCACUUUCACUCCACUGGUAAUUGAAGCUGUAUCUAUGGAGGUAAAUGAGCACUUUUCACUGUAGGUUUCCACAACCUAAUCCAUAUCUGUGUUGAUGUUGAGGAGACUUCAGCCUGUGCACUGCACAAACCCAGUCCUUUGGUGCUUUACCAUUGAAACACAUAUAACACUUAUAUCGUGCAGUGAGUCAUUUACAGGAUAUAAAGUGUAUUGUAGCUAGAACCUACACACCAAUUACUCAUCCCUAAAACUAAUCCAUCAUCCCACACAUUAAUAUCUAGGCAGAGUGUGAAUUCUAAACAACAGUGUAUAGUUCUACAGCCUACAUGACAGAUCAGUCUGCUCUGGACCUGUAGAUGCAUUUAUACAGAACUGUCUGAUGUUGCUAUAGCGCUGAAGAAAGCCCAUGGUGGAUACUGACAGCAUAUUGGCAUCUUACUACAGACAGACAGAGCAUGCUGCUCAGGCCUCCCAUAGCACACCACUGUUCAGUGAGCUGCAGCCAGGGAGGGCUGCUAGUGGGGACACUGACUCCCAGGCACUGAUCCAGGUUCACCUGAGCUUAAACCUGGUCCUGAAUCCCAGUGUUGAAGAGCUGUGGACAGGCUGAUCUGGGAUCAGCUGGUGAAGACACUGUCAGUCUUUUGCCUUUAAGAAACUGAAUAAGGGAGAAGUCCCCUGACUUGUGCACUUCAUGUCUUAGGGGAGAUGAUUAUUUUGUAAUUACUGUUAGGAAUGUAGAAUUUGGGCUGGAAGUAUUGUACCCACUGUCUGGCCUUCUGUGUGUAUAUUUUGUGAUAAGAUAAUACCAAGACAAUAAUAUGAUUAUAAAAUGAAGAGUUAUAAUAAUCUGAAUAAUAAGUUGUGUAUAGUUGAAAUCUGAAGUUUUAAUUAAAAUGUACUGUAAAAUGUACCUUUUAAUCCAAAUUGAUCCAGCCAGUUAGAAGUUGAUUCUGACUAGCGCCCACGGUUUGGUUGCAUAUUUAAUGUUUUAUAUUAAAAGAGACUUACACACUGAACAUAAUUUUUAUACAAAGUUCUUGAUACUGGCAUAGUGUUUACUUGGUUUAGAUUUAAAGUUCACAAACAAACAAUCACAUUCUGAUGUGGCCCUUAAGGUUUCUGAGGGCAGCUACAGGGAUCUGGCAUGUGCUCUGGAGGACAGUGGAAGACACACAGAAUACCAUUCUCAACCCAACAUAUUGAGCUAGAGGAGUUGCUGGGAGUGAUGUGAUAAACAUAGCAUGCAAACUAUACUGAACAAAAAUAUAAAUGCAACAUGUAAAGUGUUGGUUUCAUGAGCUGAAAUAAAAGAGCGGAGAAAUGUUACAUACGCACAUAAAGCGUAUUUCUCAAAAAUGUUGUGCACAAAUUUAUUUACAUCUCUGUUAGUGAGCAUUUCUCCUUUGCCAAGUAAAUCCAUCCACCUGAUAGGUGUGACAUAACAAGAAGCUGAUUAAACAGCAUGAUCAUUACACAGGUGCACCUUGUUCUGGGGACAAUAAAAGGCCACUCUAAAAUGUGCAGUUUUGUCACACAGCACAAUGCCACAGAUGUCUCAAGUUUUGAGCGUGCGUGCAAUUGGCAUGCUGACUGCAGGAAUGUCCACCAGAACUGUUGCCAGAGGAUUUAAUGUUAAUUUCUCUACCAUAAGCCGCCUCAACCUCGUUUUAGAGAAUUUGGCAGUACGUCCAACCAGCCUCACAACCGCAGACCACGCCAGCCCAGGACCUCCACAUCUGGCUUCUUUACCUGAGGGAUCAUCUGGGACAAGCCACCCAGACAGCUGAUGAAACUGAGGAGUAUUUCUGUCUGUAAUAAAGCCAUUUUUGUGGGGAAAAACUCGUUCUGAUUGGCUGGGCCUGGCUCCCAAGUGGGUGGGCUUAUACCUUGCCAGGCCUACCCAUAGUUGCACCCCUGCCCAGUCAUGUGAAAUCCAUAGUUUAGGGCCUAAAUCAUUUAUUUCAAUUGACUGAUUUCCUUAUAUGAACUAUAACGUUGAAAAUGUUACGUGCUGCAUUUAUAUUUUUGUUCAGUAUAGAAACUGUCAAGUGCUGAAUGAAAUUCUACCCCAAUUACAUUUUCGUAAUUUAGCAGAUGCUCUUAUCCAGAGCGACUUACAGAGUGAGUAGUAAGUGUAUACGUUUUAAAAUAUUUUUUUCAUGCUCCCAACUGUUUUUCAGUUCAACUACCCUCCUCCACCUGAAGCCUGUAAUAUCAAGCCUAAAAGGUUUAGAGAAUAAGUGACUAGUGAUUGUUACAAGCACAUUCUGUCCAGGCACUUAUUCUCUUUAACCCCCCUGAACAACAGCCUUCAUUUUCUGCACUAUUUAUGUUUGGUUCCAGUCUAUCCACUUUGUACACAUUACCUUUCAGCAGACACACAGGCACUCAUACAUUAGUCACAUAACUAUAACACACACACAUGCAGACAAGCACAUGUAUAAGUACUGACCACAUUGGCGAGAACAGUACAUUAUUAGUGGAACAAAUCAAGGUGUAAAAUAGGAUGACAUGGUUCCCCACAUUGGAUUGAACUAAACUGGACACAAUCCCAGUAAGGGGUUUUAGUUUUGCUGUAUUGUAAAUGUGUCAUUGUAUAGAUAAUACUAUACCGUCAUAUACAGUAUUACUGGGUGACAAACAGUAUUGAAAUGUGGGGACGAAAGUAUAGGAUGUGCAGGUCAAUUAUUACUGUUUUUUCUCAAUUAUCAACUUCUUAUAGAUUUAGUUGAAUAUAUUGGGUUUGAAACAUAAUGAUUUUUAUAUAUUAAUAUACAUAUAUUUUGAAUGAUAAUAUAAACACAUCAUACAUUUUAAUCCAUUUCUUUUGAAUAUCUAAAUGACGUGAUCUCAAAAAUGGGUGUGUGUGUGUUUGUAGCCAGCACGUGUAAGAGACUGAUUAGAUGACUUAUUCAUUCAUGGCAGGUAGCCUAGUGGUUAGAGCGUUGGGACAGUAACUGAAAAGUUGCUGGAUCGAAUCCCUGAGCUGACAAGGUAAAAAUCUGUUGUUCUGCCCCUGAACAAGGCAGUUAACCCACUGUUCCCCGGCAGACCGUUAUUGUAAAUAAGAAUUUGUUUUUAACUGACUUGCCUAAGUUAAAUAAAAGGUUCAAUUAAAAAAUGAAAAAUUGGGUUAUAAAAGAUGGUCAUCUCUGCUCUGUGCAGAAAGGAAAAACGGAACAACUGAAGUGUCAUUGUAGAUGGUACUGAAGCCUAAAAUACUAUUUGCCUGCCUUCCUAAUGAAAGACACUUCUUCUUUUUUUCUCACCCAACAACACAUCAUCCAUAAUGGUUUGAUUUAGCUUUAAUAUCAAUGCUUUGUUUUUGUUGUAUUUUUUGUCUUUCAUUUACAGACUAUUUGUAUGUAUGUGUAAUAAAAUGUGUGUGUAUCUAAGAUGUACAGUACCAGUCAAUAGUUUGGACACACCUACUCAUUCAAGGUUUUUCUUCAUUUUUACUUUUUUUUCCCUACAUUGUUGAAUUAUACUAUGAAAUGACACAUAUGGAAUCAUGUAGUAACCAAAAAUGUGUUAAACAAAUCCCUUUGGCCUUGAUGACAGCUUUGCACACUCUUUGCAUGCUCUAAACCAGCUUCAUGAGGUAGUCACCUGGAAUGCAUUUCAAUUAACAGGUGUGCUUUAUUAAAAGUUAAGUUGAUUAGUGUUACCAGCCUCAGAAAUUGUAGUCCAAAUAAAUGCUUCACAGAGUUCAAGUAACAGACACAUCUCAACAUCAACUGUUCAGAGGAGACACUGUCUGUGAUGUAUUUAGAAUUCAAGGCACACUUAAUCAGCAUGGCUACCACAGCAUUCUGCAGCGAUACGCCGUCCCAUCUGGUUUGCGCUUAGUCCCACUAUCAUUUGUUUUUCAAAAGGACAAUGACCCAACACACCUCUAGGCUGUGUAAGGGCUAUUUGACCAAGGAGAGUGAUGGAGUGCUGCAUCAGAUGACCUGGCCUCCACAAUCACCCAACCUCAACCCAAUUGAGAUGGUUUGAGAUGAGUUAGACCGUAGAGUGAAUGAAAAGCAGCCAACAAGUACUCCGCAUAUGUGGGAAAUAUUUCAAGACUGUUGGGAAAGUAUUCCAGGUGAAGCUGGUUGAGAGUGCCAAGAGUGUGCAAAGCUGUCAUCAAGGCAAAGGGUGGCUACUUUGAAGAAUCUCAAAUAUAAAAUAUAUUUUGAUUUGUUUAACACUUUUUUGGUUACUACAGGAUUCCAUAUGUGUUAUUUCAUAGUUCUGAUGUCUUCACUAAUAUUCAACAAUGUAGAAAAUAGUAAAAAUAAAGAAAAAUGAGUAGGUUUGUCCAAACCUUUGACUGAUACUAUACAUGUCUUUUGUUGUGUGCUGCUCUGUGGCAGGAGUAUUGUAAUGAAGAUCGGGAGAUACCUCAUCUGAAUGAAACCCUGCUGGUCUGUGGACUCUGUGCUGUUUGGCCUUGUUCUAAUACACUAAGAGCUUGUGUGACCUAAAUCACUUGAUGCCUGGUACUAAAGGGGUGGUUGGAAGGACAGACGUGAGCAGGGGUCCUGCCUUUUACCAUUCUCACUUCAACCUCACUCUCACAAACAUAUUCGACACACGGACACAUAUGCACCUGUGUUCAGGUGUAACUCCAGUGUUUCCAAUUGGGGUUGGUGUUCCUUUUUAAUUGUGUUUCUUCUCCCUUCAUUUCUACACAUGUGACAUUGUCUUUAAAGGAAAGACACAAUGACAAAAAGGAGAUGAUAAAGUUGUUUCUGUUGAAACUG
Long non-coding RNA from Oncorhynchus tshawytscha (Chinook salmon), 8284 nucleotides. The record is from Ensembl. NCBI's taxonomy places the organism in Eukaryota, Metazoa, Chordata, Actinopteri, Salmoniformes, Salmonidae.